Molecule: ribosomal RNA, 492 nt
Filed under: uncultured bacterium
Lineage: Bacteria
Description: partial 16S ribosomal RNA
Rfam family: Bacterial small subunit ribosomal RNA
Source: RNAcentral
AGUGAACGCUGGCGGUAGGCCUAACACAUGCAAGUCGAACGGCAGCACAGUAAGAGCUUGCUCUUACGGGUGGCGAGUGGCGGACGGGUGAGGAAUACAUCGGAAUCUACUUUUUCGUGGGGGAUAACGUAGGGAAACUUACGCUAAUACCGCAUACGACCUACGGGUGAAAGCAGGGGAUCUUCGGACCUUGCGCGAUUGAAUGAGCCGAUGUCGGAUUGGCUAGUUGGCGGGGUAAAGGCCCACCAAGACGACGAUCCGUAGCUGGUCUGAGAGGAUGAUCAGCCACACUGGAACUGAGACACGGUCCAGACUCCUACGGGAGGCAGCAGUGGGGAAUAUUGGACAAUGGGCGCAAGCCUGAUCCAGCCAUACCGCGUGGGUGAAGAAGGCCUUCGGGUUGUAAAGCCCUUUUGUUGGGAAAGAAAAGCAGCAGGUUAAUACCCCGCCGUUCUGACGGUACCCAAAGAAUAAGCACCGGCUAACUUCGUG